AGUGAACGCUGGCGGUAGGCCUAACACAUGCAAGUCGAACGGCAGCACAGUAAGAGCUUGCUCUUACGGGUGGCGAGUGGCGGACGGGUGAGGAAUACAUCGGAAUCUACUUUUUCGUGGGGGAUAACGUAGGUAAACUUACGCUAAUACCGCAUACGACCUACGGGUGAAAGCAGGGGAUCUUCGGACCUUGCGCGAUUGAAUGAGCCGAUGUCGGAUUAGCUAGUUGGCGGGGUAAAGGCCCACCAAGGCGACGAUCCGUAGCUGGUCUGAGAGGAUGAUCAGCCACACUGGAACUGAGACACGGUCCAGACUCCUACGGGAGGCAGCAGUGGGGAAUAUUGGACAAUGGGCGCAAGCCUGAUCCAGCCAUACCGCGUGGGUGAAGAAGGCCUUCGGGUUGUAAAGCCCUUUUGUUGGGAAAGAAACGCAGCAGGUUAAUACCCCGCUGUUCUGACGGUACCCAAAGAAUAAGCACCGGCUAACUUCGUG
Molecule: ribosomal RNA, 492 nt
Filed under: uncultured bacterium
Lineage: Bacteria
Description: partial 16S ribosomal RNA
Rfam family: Bacterial small subunit ribosomal RNA
Source: RNAcentral